AGCGAACGCUGGCGGUAGGCCUAACACAUGCAAGUCGAACGGCAGCACAGAGGAGCUUGCUCCUUGGGUGGCGAGUGGCGGACGGGUGAGGAAUACAUCGGAAUCUACUCUGUCGUGGGGGAUAACGUAGGGAAACUUACGCUAAUACCGCAUACGACCUACGGGUGAAAGCAGGGGAUCUUCGGACCUUGCGCGAUUGAAUGAGCCGAUGUCGGAUUAGCUAGUUGGCAGGGUAAAGGCCCACCAAGGCGACGAUCCGUAGCUGGUCUGAGAGGAUGAUCAGCCACACUGGAACUGAGACACGGUCCAGACUCCUACGGGAGGCAGCAGUGGGGAAUAUUGGACAAUGGGCGCAAGCCUGAUCCAGCCAUACCGCGUGGGUGAAGAAGGCCUUCGGGUUGUAAAGCCCUUUUGUUGGGAAAGAAAUCCAUCUGGUUAAUACCCGGGUGGGAUGACGGUACCCAAAGAAUAAGCACCGGCUAACUUCGUGCCAGCCGCCGCGGUAA
Molecule: ribosomal RNA, 506 nt
Filed under: uncultured bacterium
Lineage: Bacteria
Description: partial 16S ribosomal RNA
Rfam family: Bacterial small subunit ribosomal RNA
Source: RNAcentral